UUGUCGAGUGGCCGCUGCGAAACCCGAA
This 28-nucleotide small RNA is filed under the name Bombyx mori (domestic silkworm). RNAcentral's name for it is "ovarian small RNA-38105". The record is from RNAcentral. Lineage: Eukaryota; Metazoa; Arthropoda; Insecta; Lepidoptera; Bombycidae.